GACGAACGCUGGCGGCGUGCCUAAUACAUGCAAGUUGAGCGCUGAAGGCUGGUACUUGUACCAACUGGAUGAGCAGCGAACGGGUGAGUAACGCGUGGGGAAUCUGCCUUUGAGCGGGGGACAACAUUUGGAAACGAAUGCUAAUACCGCAUAAAAACUUUAAACACAAGUUUUAAGUUUGAAAGAUGCAAUUGCAUCACUCAAAGAUGAUCCCGCGUUGUAUUAGCUAGUUGGUGAGGUAAAGGCUCACCAAGGCGAUGAUACAUAGCCGACCUGAGAGGGUGAUCGGCCACAUUGGGACUGAGACACGGCCCAAACUCCUACGGGAGGCAGCAGUAGGGAAUCUUCGGCAAUGGACGAAAGUCUGACCGAGCAACGCCGCGUGAGUGAAGAAGGUUUUCGGAUCGUAAAACUCUGUUGGUAGAGAAGAAAGUUGGUGAGAGUGGAAAGCUCAUCAAGUGACGGUAACUACCCAGAAAGGGACGGCUAACUACGUG
RNAcentral lists this ribosomal RNA (497 nucleotides) under uncultured bacterium. RNAcentral's name for it is "partial 16S ribosomal RNA". It matches the Rfam family "Bacterial small subunit ribosomal RNA", at positions 28 to 507 of the family's 1533-position model. The record is from RNAcentral.